RNAcentral lists this long non-coding RNA (1870 nucleotides) under Citrus x clementina. RNAcentral describes it as "Citrus clementina (C. clementina) long non-coding RNA (CCLE_LNC000023)". The record is from RNAcentral. Lineage: Eukaryota; Viridiplantae; Streptophyta; Magnoliopsida; Sapindales; Rutaceae.
CCAGACUUUGCGGGCUGCUUCCGUGUGCCAAAAAUAGGCCACGGGCAGAGCCGCGCCCAAAAAUCAGCCCCCGAAGGUCGGGGCGCCAAGACCCCCCAGCGGAAAAAUGGCCAAAAAACGGGUGGGCUAUAGCCUUGGUGGGGGGCGUGGGCGAAGUUUGUCCGCCGGACUCGGAAUGGCCCCAGACUUUGCGGGCAGCCUUCGUGUGCCAAAAAUAGGCCACGGGCACACCCGCGCCCAAAAAUCAGCCCCCGAAGGUCGGGGCGCCAAGACCCCCCAGCGGAAAAAUGGCCAAAAAACGGGUGGGCGGGCUAUAGCCUUGGUGGGGGGCGUGGGCGAAGUUCGUCCGCCGGACUCGGAAUGGCCCCAGACUUUGCGGGCGGCCUCCGUGUGCCAAAAAUAAGCCACGGGCACAGCCGCGUCCAAAAAUCAGCCCCCGAAGUCGGGGCGCCAAGACCCCCCAGCGGAAAAAUGGCCAAAAAACGGGUGGGCUAUAGCCUUGGUGGGGGGCGUGGGCGAAGUUCGUCCGCCGGACUCGGAAUGGCCCCAGACUUUGCAGGCGGCCUCCGUGUGGCAAAAAUAGGCCACGGGCACAGCCGCGCCCAAAAAUCAGCCGCCGAAGUCGGGGCGCCAAGACCCCCCAGCGGAAAAAUGGCCAAAAAACGGGUGGGCUAUAGCCUUGGUGGGGGGCGUGGGCGAAGUUCGUCCGCCGGACUCGGAAUGGCCCCAGACUUUGCGGGCUGCUUCCGUGUGCCAAAAAUAGGCCACGGGCAGAGCCGCGCCCAAAAAUCAGCCCCCGAAGGUCGGGGCGCCAAGAACCCCCAGCGGAAAAAUGGCCAAAAAACGGGUCGGCUAUAGCCUUGGUGGGGGGCGUGGGCGAAGUUCGUCCGCCGGACUCGGAAUGGCCCCAGACUUUGCGGGCGGCCUCCGUGUACCAAAAAUAGGCCACGGGCACAGCCGCGCCCAAAAAUCAGCCCCCGAAGGUCGGGGCGCCAAGACCCCCCAGCGGAAAAAUGGCCAAAAAACGGGUGAGCUAUAGCCUUGGUGGGGGGCGUGGGCGAAGUUCGUCCGCCGGACUCGGAAUGGCCCCAGACUUUGCGGGCGGCCUCCGUGUGCCAAAAAUAGGCCACGGGCACACCCGCGCCCAAAAAUCAGCCCCCGAAGGUCGGGGCGCCAAGACCCCCCAGCGGAAAAAUGGUCAAAAAACGGGUGGGCGGGGUAUAGCCUUGGUGGGGGGCGUGGGCGAAGUUCGUCCGCCGGACUCGGAAUGGCCCCAGACUUUGCGGGCGGCCUCCGUGUGCCAAAAAUAAGCCACGGGCACAGCCGCGCCCAAAAAUCAGCCCCCGAAGGUCGGGGCGCCAAGACCCCCCAGCGGAAAAAUGGCCAAAAAACGGGUGGGCUAUAGCCUUGGUGGCGGGCGUGGGCGAAGUUCGUCCGCCGGACUCGGAAUGGCCCCAGACUUUGCGGGCGGCUUCCGUGUGCCAAAAAUAGGCCACGGGCAGAGCCGCGCCCAAAAAUCAGCCCCCGAAGGUCGGGGUGCCAAGACCCCCCAGCGGAAAAAUGGCCAAAAAACGGGUGGGCUUUAGCCUUGGUGGGGGGCGUGGGCGAAGUUCGUCCGCCGGACUCGGAAUGGCCCCAGACGUUGCGGGCGGCCUCCGUGUGCCAAAAAUAGGCCACGGGCACAGCCGCUCCCAAAAAUCAGCCCCCGAAGGUCGGGGUGCCAACACUCCCCAGCGGAAAAAUGGCCAAAAAACGGGUGGGCUAUAGCCUUGGUGGGGGGCGUGGGCGAAGUUCGUCCGCCGGACUCGGAAUGGCCCCAGACUUUGCGGGCGGCCUCUGUGUGCCAAAAAUAGGCCACGGGCACAGCCGC